UCCGUUGGCUUUCCCUCUGCUGCUCUCAUUCCAGUGGCGAAGGAGCUGCUCAGAAACCUGAUGUGUAUGUGCAGCGUUAGAUUUUUUAUUUCGGUUUCUCCUCUGAUCCGUCUCACAAAAUGUCGUCCGUAUACAGAGCUCGAUUGACAACUUUCGAAGAUUCAGAGAAGGAGAGCGAGUACGGUUACGUUCGAAAGAGGAAUGGAAUACAAGCAUGAGAUUGGCGAAGAAGAAGCCAGAACUAUACUUGAAGUUAUUGCUUCAACUGGGAAAUUUUGCUCUUCUCAGCUUUAUAGAAGGUCCUCCUUUUACCCUGCAGAGGCUUUGUGAGGUGAUCAUACUUGUCCAUUAUGAGUGUCAUGUUUCAUUUUGUUGUACCCUGCCUAAUAACUUCAACAAUCUCCUAAUUGGUUACUACUGUGCACUGAAUUCUGGUGAUGGUUCAAACCUUAUUUGAGGUUUUGAAUCAGUGGAAUCCCAAAUUUUAUUUGUUUGUUAGUUUUGGAGAUUGCCUUGUGGAGGG
This is a non-coding RNA of Camellia sinensis, 523 nucleotides long. NCBI's taxonomy places the organism in Eukaryota, Viridiplantae, Streptophyta, Magnoliopsida, Ericales, Theaceae. The record is from RefSeq and is a predicted model, not a curated record.